AUAGAUUUUUGAUCUUGGUUCAGAGUGAGCGUGGGCGGUAGCGGUAACACAUACACAUGCAAGUCGAGCACCAAGGAGCUUUUUCCUUGGGUGGCGAGUGGCGGACGGGUGAGGAAUACAUCGGAAUGUACUCAGUCGCGGGGGAUAACUUAGGGAAACUUUCGCUAAUACCGCAUACGACCUACGGGGGAAAGCAGGGGAUCUUCGGGCCUUGCGCGAUUGAAUGAGCCGAUGUCGGAUUAGCUAGUUGGCGGGGUAAAGGCUCACCAAGGCGACGAUCCGUAGCUGGUUUGAGAGGAUGAUCAGCCACACUGGAACUGAGACACGGUCCAGACUCCUACGGGAGGCAGCAGUGGGGAAUAUUGGACAAUGGGCGCAAGCCUGAUCCAGCCAUACCGCGUGGGUGAAGAAGGCCUUCGGGUUGUAAAGCCCUUUUGCUGGGAAAGAAAUCCCACGGGUUAAUACCCGGUGUAGAGAUGACGGUACCCUACAAGAAUAAGCACCGGCUAAC
RNAcentral lists this ribosomal RNA (511 nucleotides) under uncultured Pseudomonadaceae bacterium. RNAcentral's name for it is "bacterial SSU rRNA". It matches the Rfam family "Bacterial small subunit ribosomal RNA", at positions 1 to 501 of the family's 1533-position model. Lineage: Bacteria; Pseudomonadati; Pseudomonadota; Gammaproteobacteria; Pseudomonadales; Pseudomonadaceae. The record is from RNAcentral.